GUAUUUUGAAUUGUUUUAUUCAUAAUAUUUUUCAGACAAAGAGUUGAGAUAUAGUUGAUGUUUGGCCGAUCUCCAUAAAGAAGAUCGACUGACAUUGCACACAAGGUGGAUAUGGAUUUAAAAAGUGCCAUAAAACACUUAUUAUGAAUGAUCCUUCCGCAGGUUCACCUACGGAAA
This 177-nucleotide unclassified non-coding RNA is filed under the name uncultured fungus. RNAcentral describes it as "sequence contains ITS1, 5.8S rRNA gene". The record is from RNAcentral. Lineage: Eukaryota; Fungi.